RNAcentral lists this ribosomal RNA (434 nucleotides) under Arthrobacter sp. Its description in RNAcentral is "bacterial SSU rRNA". It matches the Rfam family "Bacterial small subunit ribosomal RNA", at positions 21 to 456 of the family's 1533-position model. Lineage: Bacteria; Bacillati; Actinomycetota; Actinomycetes; Micrococcales; Micrococcaceae. The record is from RNAcentral.
GGCUCAGGAUGAACGCUGGCGGCGUGCUUAACACAUGCAAGUCGAACGAUGAACCUCACUUGUGGGGGGAUUAGUGGCGAACGGGUGAGUAACACGUGAGUAACCUGCCCUUGACUCUGGGAUAAGCCUGGGAAACCGGGUCUAAUACUGGAUACGACCUUCCCGCGCAUGCGGUGUUGGUGGAAAGCUUUUGCGGUUUUGGAUGGACUCGCGGCCUAUCAGCUUGUUGGUGGGGUAAUGGCCUACCAAGGCGACGACGGGUAGCCGGCCUGAGAGGGUGACCGGCCACACUGGGACUGAGACACGGCCCAGACUCCUACGGGAGGCAGCAGUGGGGAAUAUUGCACAAUGGGCGCAAGCCUGAUGCAGCGACGCCGCGUGAGGGAUGAAGGCCUUCGGGUUGUAAACCUCUUUCAGUAGGGAAGAAGCCGGUC